UAAAAAAGUACAGUGCAAUUUAACAAAAAUCAUUAUUUAACAAAGCAAAAUUUUAUUUAUUUAUAGUUCACAAGUCGCGACAGUCACAUAGUAACUGCAGGGUUGCUAGUUUAAUUUAAUUAAAUAAAUUUUUAUUAUUUUUUCUUUCAGA
Molecule: long non-coding RNA, 151 nt
Organism: Cotesia glomerata
Lineage: Eukaryota; Metazoa; Arthropoda; Insecta; Hymenoptera; Braconidae
Exons: 3
Source: RefSeq, a predicted model, not a curated record